AUACAAACACAUAACAUAUAUACUGCCAGGCUAUUCUGGGGUGCCUGACUACCCGGUACGGCCAUUCUGGGGUGCCGUCCUACCCGUGUCAAGCCAUUCUGGGGUGCUGACUACCCAUGUCAAGCCAUUCUGGGGUGCUGACUACCCGUCGGUCCUAACAACCGACCACAGGGACUGGUCCCCUCAUACUACCUCUACCGCAUAAAACAUAACAAGCCAGCAUGCAAACAUAUAAUCAUAAACUGUCAGACGUAUCUGGGGUGUCUGACUACCCUUCGGUCCUAACAACCGAACUCGACUACUAUCACAUACAGCAUAUCAUGCUAGCAUAUAACAUGUCAGGUACUAGCGAACUUAGAUGAUAUCACAAAGACAAUCAUCUAUCAUACAACUCCUACUGGUGGGUCGGCAUUGUGGCCUUAGACCCACCGCUACUGGAAGGUAACUCACCUCAAAGUAGCUGCUGAACUGAUCGGGAACUAACUGACUGCUGCUGCUCCGGGAGUCCUCCGGCUGCAAUUUCCACGACAUACUCAAUCAAACACUGCUAACUGUCCUUUAGGUAAAAUGACCAUUUUACCCCUGGAUUAACUCUAAGCCAAAGCUGGAGUCAACUUUCAGUUGACCCGACUCGCCGAGUGGAUCACCACUCGCCGAGUCCCUAGCAAACCAAUGUCCUGGGUCCCUGGUUCUACUCGUCGAGUCGGGCUAUGACUCGACGAGUUCACCUUCUAACUGCCAUUCAACACCUUCAUCCUACUCGCCGAGUUGUAUGAACAACUCGUCGAGUUCAUCUUCAUCCGAUGAACACUUUAUGCUAAGACUCGCCGAGUUGUAUGAACAACUCGCCGAGUCUGUUCUUGAGCUAUGAAGAUUGCCUUGGACUCGCCGAGUCAGGGCAUUGACUCGCCGAGUCCUAACAUGGGUGAGUUCAGCUCCCAACUCACCGAGUCACCCCCUGUGACUCAAGGCUCAACUCGACACAUGAAGAAGGGACCAAUUCGGUGACUCGCGACCAGACUCGCCGAGUCACCUAUGCGACUCGCCGAGUCGUCGCCAUGCACUCCUUAAAUAUACCGAUUUGCUCGGUUCCAGACCAUGCCAUUCAUAGAUCUGGACUUCUAGGACACGAAUCACACGUAAAGUUUCCAACUUUACGUGUGGAUAUUCACCAAUAUGGAUUAUAAGGCUCAAAAUGUCUCAAAAUGGUAGAUCUAGGGCUAACAAGCCUCAUGAGGCCAAAAAGCUAACAGAUCUGAGCUCCUGGAGCUCAAUCUUACAUAGAUCCAAAGGCCAAACGCCUUAUUACAACAUAUAAUGAACAUGCAAACUUGGGGAAUUGACCAAGAAGGACCCAAAUGAAGUUUUAAGCAUAGAAUCAAGGGGAAAACGGGUUAUACCUCAAAGGAAAUGUUGAAAUGACACAAGGAUGGCUGAUCUCCUUCUCCUCUUCUUGAUCUACUCCUCUUACUCUUCAAAACCUUCAAGAACACACCAAGAACACCUCAAACUCUCAAGGAAACAAGGGAAAACGAUGUAGGGGGAGUUCUGGGGGUGAAUGGGGACGAGUUGGGGCGGAAUGAGGGUUUAAAUAGGGUGCAAACCCUUGAAACUUAGGGUUUCAUCCCGCAGCGGUGACUCGCCGAGUCCAGGAUAUGGACUCGUCGAGUCGCCUACUUAAAACGCGUCCUGAGUCUCGUCCCUACUCGGCGAGUCGGACCCUAUGACUCGCCGAGUCUAAGGCUAAAUUAGGGCAAUGCUCAAAUAAAAUUCACAUACCGGAAACCAGGUGCUACAAAUCUCCCCCACUUAUUUUAGACUUCGUCCUCGAAGUCUGCUGCCUGAUCCUGAAACAGCUCGGGGUAGUGCUCCAUCAUCUCGUCUACCGGCUCCCAAGUCCACUCUGAACCCUUGCGGUGCUGCCAUUGCACCUUCACUAGCUCCACCCUCUUGUUCCUUAAAUCCUUCGACUUCCUGUCGAGGAUUGCGACUGGGCGCUCGAUGUAGUUCAGGCUGUCAUCAACCUGAAUAUCCUCCAAAGGUACUACUGCAGAAUCGUCCACUAGGCACUUCCGCAACUGCGAAACAUGGAAAGUGCUGUGGAUCUGGCUAAGCUCGGCUGGCAGAUCCAGCCUAUAUGCUACCUUGCCCACCCGGGCUAAGACCCUGAACGGUCCGAUGAAUCGCGGGCCCAACUUGCCCCGCUUCCUGAAUCGGAUGACGCCUUUCCACGGUGACACCUUCAGGAGGACCAUAUCCCCGACCUGGAACUCUAAAUCGGAUCGACGCUUGUCGGCAUAACUUUUCUGUCGACUCUGAGCAGUCUGAAGCCUGCUCCGGACCUGCUGUAUCCUCUCAGUCGUCUUGAGCACCACUUCGGUGCUUCCCAUAACUCUCUGGCCAACCUCACCCCAGCAUAUCGGGGUCCUACACCUCCGUCCGUACAACAUCUCGAAGGGAGGGCGGUCGAUACUCGCGUGAUAGCUGUUGUUGUAGGAGAACUCAGCCAAAGGAAGAUAGGUAUCCCAGCUACCACCGAAAUCCAGAACACACGCCCGCAACAUGUCCUCCAAAGUCUGGAUGGUCCGCUCACUCUGUCCAUCUGUCUGCGGGUGAAAGGCGGUGCUGAAAUGCAGACGAGUGCCCAACUCGUCAUGGAAUCUCUUCCAAAACCUGGAAGUAAAACGCACAUCCCUGUCCGAGAUCACCGAUACUGGCACCCCAUGCCGUGCCACAAUCUCCCUGAUAUAGAUGUCGGCCAAUUUCUCGGCCGAUAUGCUCUCCGGAAUCGGAAUAAAGUGAGCACUCUUGGUCAAUCUAUCCACGAUGACCCAAAUCGAAUCCACUCCACGCGCGGUCCUGGGAAGCUUCGUGAUAAAAUCCAUCGUGAUAUCUUCCCACUUCCACAGUGGAAUGUCCAACGGCUGCAUCUUGCCAUGCGGCCUCUGAUGUUCGGCCUUGACCUUCCUGCAGGUCAAGCACCGCUCGACGUACCAUGCCACAUCCCGCUUCAUGCAGGGCCACCAAUAGUCUAGACGAAGAUCCCUAUACAUCUUCGUCGCCCCGGGAUGAAUAGAGAAUCGGGACUUGUGCGCCUCCUCCAUCAAAAUCUGGCGCACGCCCCCGUGAUACGGCACCCACACCCUAUGGUGUAGUGUCAAUAACCCUCGGCUAUCAUAAUCGAAGGAGGAAACCUGACCUACUACGCGCUCGUUCUUCCGAUGCUCCUCCUUGAUAGCCUCCUGUUGAGCUUCCCGAAUCUGCUCCAACAGGGGAGUCACCACAGUCAUCCUCAAACAGGCGUCCCUGAUCGGCGCCGUCUUGCGGCUAAGCGCAUCGGCCACCACAUUGGCCUUUCCCGGGUGGUAAAGGAUCUCGCAAUCAUAAUCCUUCACCACAUCCAACCACCGACGCUGCCUCAUGUUCAGAUUCGGCUGGUCCAUGAGGUACCUCAAGCUCUUGUGGUCCGUGUAGAUGGUACACCGAACCCCAUAGAGGUAAUGUCGCCAAAUCUUGAGGGCAAAUACCACCGCCCCCAACUCCAAAUCGUGCGUCGGGUAGUUCGCCUCGUGAGGCUUGAGCUGCCUCGAAGCGUAAGCAAUGACAUGCCCCCUUUGCAUCAGCACCGCGCCCAACCCAGAAAUGGACGCAUCGCAAUAAACCACGAAAUCCUCUACGCCCUCUGGCAGGGCUAAGAUCGGCGCCUCACACAAUCUCUGUCUCAGCGUCUCAAAUGCAGCCUGCUGCUCGGGUCCCCACCGAAAGACCACGGCUUUCUUCGUCAGCCGCGUCAGGGGCACGGCUAUCUUGGAGAAAUCCUGGAUAAAUCUCCGAUAGUAGCCUGCCAAUCCUAGGAAGCUCCGAAUCUCAGAUGGGGACUUCGGAACCUCCCAUCUCAUCACGGCCUCGACCUUGGCCGGAUCGACCAGAAUCCCGUUCUGGUUGACGAGGUGCCCCAGAAAUUGCACCUCGCGCAACCAAAACUCACACUUGGAGAACUUGGCAUACAAGCUCUCCCUCCUCAGGGUCUCUAACACCUCUCUCAAAUGCUCCUCAUGUUCCUCCCGGGUCUUGGAAUAAACCAAGAUAUCAUCGAUAAAGACUAUCACAGACCGGUCCAGCAUCGGUCUGCAUACACGGUUCAUGAGGUCCAUGAACGCGGCAGGAGCAUUGGUGAGCCCAAACGGCAUCACCACAAACUCGUAAUGGCCAUAGCGCGUCCGAAACGCGGUCUUCUGCAUAUCCUCCUCCCUGACCCUCAUCUGAUGAUAACCCGAACGCAAAUCAAUCUUGGAGAACCAAGAUGCGCCCUGAAGCUGGUCAAAGAGGUCAUCAAUCCUCGGAAGCGGGUAACGGUUCUUCACCGUUACCUUGUUCAGCUCCCGAUAAUCUAUACACAUCCGAUGCGACCCAUCCUUCUUCUUCACAAACAGAAUCGGGGCUCCCCAGGGCGAACUGCUCGGCCGAAUAAAUCCCUUGUCCAGCAGCUCCUGCAGCUGCGUAGACAACUCCUGCAUCUCGGGAGGAGCCAACCGAUACGGUGCUUUGGCUAUCGGAGCCGCACCGGGAACGAGGUCAAUCCUGAACUCCACCUGUCGCUCCGGAGGUAUCCCAGGUAGUUCCUCCGGAAAAACAUCAGCAAAAUCUCGAACCACCGGGACCUCGCUCACGGUCGCCUUACCCGCCUCCCGGGUGUCCAUCACGUACGCGACAUAACCCGCGCAUCCCUGCUGAAGGUAGCGCCUAGCCCUCGCUGCUGAACAUACAGUGGGUCCACACUGCGGCCGCUCUCCAUGAAUCACUAACUCUCCCCCGCUUGGGGUCUUGACUCGCACUAGCUGCUGUGCGCAAUCUAUCACUGCCCCAUUAGGGCUCAACCAAUCCAUACCAAUAAUCACCUUGUUCCCACGCAAUGGAAUGGGAACCAAGUCUACCAGGUAACACUCCUCAAACAGUCGCAGGACACAAUCUCGAAACACCAUCGAUGCUCGCACCGAUCGAUCAUCGGCAAUCUCUACCUCUAACGGGCAAUCUAACUCGCCUGAAGUCUCAUGAAAUCUCUUGCUAAGAGCAAGAGAAACGAACGAUCGGGAUGCACCCGAGUCGAACAAUACCUGAACCGGGAUGCCGUUCACAUGGAACGAUCCUAAUACACAUGUAUACACACGGAGCACAUAUCAAUAUCAUAACAACGUAAAAUAAAAGAUAGAAGGAAGGAAUCAUACCCGUCACCACAUCGGGCGCGGCGCGUGCCUCCUCGGCAGUCAACUGAAAUGCCCGACUCCUCACCACUGGAGCCUCUGCCUUGCCCUGACGGCCAUCCGUGAUCCGCAGGGUCGCUGGAGCUGGCGCCUUCACUGGCGCUGAAGCUGUCAACAUGGGGCAAUUGGCCUUCUUGUGGCCCCUCUGGUUGCAGUGGAAACACAGCAACUCCGAUGUCUGAAUAACGGUCGCAGGAGCAGUGCAAUCCCUGCUGAUAUGCCCAAACUUGCCGCACUUGUAGCAGCCUGACGAUCCCAUCCUGCACGCCCCCUCGUGCGGCCUGCCGCACCUCCUGCAGCGGCUCGGUCCCGACUGGCCUUUCGGCCUCCCAUCUGAUCCCUUGGGCUUCUUCCCCGAAGCCCCCGAUGACUGACCAUCCUCAAGUUUCCGUUUCCGGAUGUGCUCCAAAUCUAUCUCUCUCUCCCUAGCCCUGGCAAUCAUGGAGUCCAGGGUAGGGCAAGCCGAAAAACUAACAUGCUCCCGAAUGUCAGCUCGUAGCAUAUCAUGGUAACGAGUCCUCCUCAUAUCCUCGUCACCUGCAUACUGGGGCACCAAUAAAGCCCUCUCCCGAAACUUGGCGGUGAUCUCCGCCACGGUCUCUGUCGUCUGCCUCAUGUCUAAGAACUCCCUGGCCAGCUGCUGAAGCUCGACCGCUGGCGCAAACUCUGCCCUGAACCUAGCCACAAAGUCCGACCAGGUCAUUGCCUCGAUAGCCGAGGCUCCCAUCGAGUCACCCACUGACUCCCACCAAUCUCGGGCCCGGUCCCGUAAACACCCUGCUGCGUACCUCACCUUCGACCCCUCGGGGCAGAAGCUGAUCAACUGGGCGGACUCGAUAUCCGCAAUCCACCGCCUGGCGACAAUGGGGUCCUUCACCCCAUGGAAAUCCGGCGCACCACUGCUCCUGAAGUCCUUGAAGGACAGUGUGCGAGAUCCUGACUGGCUAGAGGCCAAGUCGCUCCUGAAUGCCCGUAGGCGAUCCUCCAUCAUCUCCACGAUCCCUUCCUUGAUCGACCCAAAGAUGAUGGGGGUCGACUCAAGGAUGCCCCUAGUGAUCUCCGACGUGAUGAACUCACGUAGCCUCUCCUCAAUCGGCUCGGUGCCAGAUCCCGAACCUGACCCCUCUCCUGACCCGCCAUCUGUCGGUCUCGGUCGAAGUACCACCAUUCUGCAAAACAUCAAUAAUAAUCAUUAGUGGUACUGCUACUUUCUGAGGGAUCUCAACUACUUACAGGUUCCUUGGUCUCGUCUUGGCCUUCCUCGGCUCGGGUACGGAUCCUCUGCUUUCAGUAGUACGGGCCCAUACUACCUUCCACAUCUAUCCGUACCUUCUCCGAGGAAUUCCUCGACUCCACCAACUCCCCUCUACUACUGCUACUCUCCGAUAUUCUCACCCUAGGCUUGCCCUAGGGAGAACUCAAGUUCAACACAACUGGUCCUCAGCUGCUGUAGGUCUCCUCAUAAUGCCAGUUAGCCACCACCUAAACACCACCACCUGUGAUGAGGAUUAGAUCAUCCUUCAAGUAAAAGGCCCGUCCCUACAACGGUUGGACUCAAACAAGAGCUGCGCAAUAGGGCCAGUUCCAACACUUUGGGAUUAUUCAACCCCGAUUACAUGUGGUGUGACGUGUUUACCUAGUGGCUCACUCCCAUUACUCAGAAUCCCACCGAGCACGAAGCAAGCAGCAUUCGGAUAAGGAAAAACAGACUCAAGCCAAAACUGUUCUUAGAACAAGAAACGACACUUAACAUAGGAUGCUAAGCUCAUACUAUCAGGCAUAACCUAAACAGGCUACCCUACUGCUGUCUACUCAAUUCUAGCAUGCAAUAUUCAAUAAGCUGUAACAAAUAAACAGGCACAUAAGGCAUCACUCCUAGAUCCUUAGCCUAUUCUAGCAUGCAAUAUUCAUAAAGCUGAUAAACAUAACAUAAACUUGUAUGGGUACUAUGGGGAAUACUUACUUGAGCUCGGCCGGUCGCGCACGUCACACACUUUACUCUUUCUCGUGACUCUUUUCCGGGUUUUAAAGAAUAAUUUCUUUUGGAAAAAUCUUUCAAUCCCUCGGUUUGAGUCCAAACACUCCCGAAGGCGUGUCCGAAUCCCUCAAACCAGGGCUCUGAUACCAACUUGUAACGACCCAAAUUUUUUUUUUUUUUUGAUAUUACUUUAGAAAACAUUAAUAAAUAAAAACAUUGUCUAAAUAAAAAGAAACAUUGUUUGUUCACACCAUAACACAUUGCAACCAUGUUCUCAAAAGCCAAACCGUACAUCCCAUCAAAUAUCAGAGUACAAUCCCAGUAAAUCUCAUAAAUGCGGAAACCGAAGAGUGUGUGUAUGACGUGCCGCUACCGCGCCGGCUCCUUCCCCUUCGAUGCAGAGGUACCUGAAAACAAAACUGUAAACGUAAGCACAAAGCUUAGUGAGUUCCCCCAACGUACCGCAUACCAUACAAACACAUAACAUAUAUACUGCCAGGCUAUUCUGGGGUGCCUGACUACCCGGUACGGCCAUUCUGGGGUGCCGACCUACCCAUACGGCCAUUCUGGGGUGCCGUCUUACCCGUGUCAAGCCAUUCUGGGGUGCUGACUACCCAUCGGUCCUAACAACCGAUCCUCGGGGACUAUUUCACCCCUACUACUACGAUCACAUAUAACAUAACAAGCCAGCAUGCAUACAUAUCGUCACAUACUGUCAGACGUAUCUGGGGUGUCUGACUACCCUUCGGUCCGAACAACCAAACUCUACUACUAUCACAUACAGCAUAUCAUGCUAGCAUAUAACAUGUCAGGUACUAGCGAACUUAGAUGAUAUCACAAAGACAAUCAUCUAUCAUACAACUCCUACUGGUGGG
This 8114-nucleotide long non-coding RNA is filed under the name Lactuca sativa (garden lettuce). RNAcentral describes it as "long non-coding RNA (LSAT_LNC000509)". The record is from RNAcentral. Lineage: Eukaryota; Viridiplantae; Streptophyta; Magnoliopsida; Asterales; Asteraceae.